This 440-nucleotide ribosomal RNA is filed under the name uncultured bacterium. Its description in RNAcentral is "bacterial SSU rRNA". It matches the Rfam family "Bacterial small subunit ribosomal RNA", at positions 338 to 795 of the family's 1533-position model. The record is from RNAcentral.
CCUACGGGGGGCUGCAGUGGGGAAUAUUGCACAAUGGGCGAAAGCCUGAUGCAGCAACGCCGCGUGAGCGAUGAAGGUCUUCGGGUCGUAAAGCUCUGUCCUAAGGGAAGAAUAUUGACGGUACCUUAGGAGGAAGCCCCGGCUAACUACGUGCCAGCAGCCGCGGUAGUACGUAGGGGGCUAGCGUUAUCCGGAAUUACUGGGCGUAAAGGGUGCGUAGGCGGCCCUUCAAGUCAGAGGUGAAAGGCUACGGCUCAACCGUAGUAAGCCUUUGAAACUGAAUGGCUUGAGUGCAGGAGAGGAGAGUGGAAUUCCUAGUGUAGCGGUGAAAUGCGUAGAUAUUAGGAGGAACACCAGUGGCGAAGGCGACUCUCUGGACUGUAACUGACGCUGAGGCACGAAAGCGUGGGGAGCAAACAGGAUUAGAUACCCGAGUAGUC